CUUUACUGAGGGUAGAAACACUGAGCCUUCUUUUAUAAACGCAUGGUCGGCUCAGCACUAGGCCAGCGGGCCGUCGAGGCAUCUACCGCACCCAACUCCAGGGUAUAAAGAGAUGUGGGACACGCCGCCCCACCAGUAAUU
Molecule: non-coding RNA, 141 nt
Filed under: unclassified sequences
Description: skipping-rope RNA
Rfam family: skipping-rope RNA
About the family: Firmicutes, Fusobacteria, AlphaProteobacteria, Spirochaetes. Downstream gene
Source: Rfam by way of RNAcentral